RNAcentral lists this non-coding RNA (45 nucleotides) under Schistosoma haematobium. Lineage: Eukaryota; Metazoa; Platyhelminthes; Trematoda; Strigeidida; Schistosomatidae. The record is from RNAcentral.
AUCCAACUGACGAGUCCUAAAUUGGAUGAAACGCAAGUUUCGGAU